Molecule: ribosomal RNA, 382 nt
Filed under: Tricommatinae sp. n. MZSP 72935
Lineage: Eukaryota; Metazoa; Arthropoda; Arachnida; Opiliones; Gonyleptidae
Description: partial large subunit ribosomal RNA
Rfam family: Bacterial large subunit ribosomal RNA (bases 72-382)
Source: RNAcentral
UUUUUUAAUUGAAAGCUGGGAUGAAAGGUAGAUACUGAGGGGGAGGUUUUAUAUUAUGAUUUUGAAGUUAAAUUAAGGGUAAAAAUGCUCUUAUGUAUCUUUGGGACGAGAAGACCCUAAAAGCUUAUAAUGAUUAAUUUUGGUUGGGGUAAUGGUUGAAGAGGAAGAUUUUUAAUAGGAUAGAUUUUUGUUGAUAGAAAGUUACUUUAGGGAUAACAGCGUUAUAUGGCUAGCAAGUUCUUAUUAAUAGCCAAGCUUGCGACCUCGAUGUUGAAUUAAAUUUUUUUUGAUUAAUGGAGAAGUUAGUUGAAUUAGUCUGUUCGACUAUUGAAAGUUUACAUGAUUUGAGUUCAAACCGGUUUAAGCCAGGUCGGUUCUUAUC